RNAcentral lists this ribosomal RNA (559 nucleotides) under uncultured bacterium. RNAcentral describes it as "bacterial SSU rRNA". It matches the Rfam family "Bacterial small subunit ribosomal RNA", at positions 100 to 659 of the family's 1533-position model. The record is from RNAcentral.
GAACGGGUGACGUAACACGUGGAUAACCUUCCUUCAGGUGGGGAAUAACCCAGUGAAAACUGGGCUAAUACCGCAUAACAUGACGAUGGCACAUGCUGUUGUCUUCAAAGGCGCAAGUCGCCAGAAGAGGGAUCCGCGGCCGAUUAGCUUGUUGGCGAGGUAAUGGCUCACCAAGGCAUUGAUCGGUAGCCGGACUGAGAGGUUGGCCGGCCACACUGGAACUGAGACACGGUCCAGACUCCAUACGGGAGGCAGCAGUGGGGAAUCUUGCACAAUGGACGAAAGUCUGAUGCAGCAACGCCGCGUGGGGGAUGAAGCUUCUCGGAGUGUAAACCCCUUUCGACCCGGGAAGAAUGCCCGCAAGGGUUUGACGGUACGGGUAUAAGAAGGCCCCGGUUAACUACGUGCCAGCAGCCGCGGUAAUACGUAGGGGGCCAGCGUUGCUCGGAAUUACUGGGCGUAAAGGGUCUGUAGGCGGUGCGGCAAGUCGAUAGUGAAAUCCCUAGGCUUAACCUAGGGGCUGCUAGCGAAAUUGCCGUGCUAGAGUGUGAGAGAGGCG